Molecule: ribosomal RNA, 20 nt
Filed under: Ostryopsis davidiana
Lineage: Eukaryota; Viridiplantae; Streptophyta; Magnoliopsida; Fagales; Betulaceae
Source: RNAcentral
GGGUGCGAUCAUACCAGCGC